AGUGAACGCUGGCGGUAGGCCUAACACAUGCAAGUCGAACGGCAGCACAGUAAGAGCUUGCUCUUACGGGUGGCGAGUGGCGGACGGGUGAGGCAUACAUCGGAAUCUACUUUUUCGUGGGGGAUAACGUAGGGAAACUUACGCUAAUACCGCAUACGACCUACGGGUGAAAGCAGUGGAUCUUCGGACCUUUCGCGAUUGAAUGAGCCGAUGUCGGAUUAGCUAGUUGGCGGGGUAAAGGCCCACCAAGGCAACGAUCCGUAGCUGACCUGAGAGGAUGAUCAGCCACACUGGAACUGAGACACGGUCCAGACUCCUACGGGAGGCAGCAGUAGGGAAUAUUGGACAAUGGGCGAAAGCCUGAUCCAGCAAUACCGCGUGGGUGAAGAAGGCCUUCGGGUUGUAAAGCCCUUUUGUUGGGAAAGAAAAGCAGCAGGUGAAUACCCCGCUGUUCUGACGGUACCCAAAGAAUAAGCACCGGCUAACUUCGUG
Molecule: ribosomal RNA, 492 nt
Filed under: uncultured bacterium
Lineage: Bacteria
Description: partial 16S ribosomal RNA
Rfam family: Bacterial small subunit ribosomal RNA
Source: RNAcentral